RNAcentral lists this ribosomal RNA (477 nucleotides) under uncultured soil bacterium. RNAcentral describes it as "bacterial SSU rRNA". It matches the Rfam family "Bacterial small subunit ribosomal RNA", at positions 26 to 524 of the family's 1533-position model. The record is from RNAcentral.
AGAAUGAACGUUGGCGGCGUGGAUUAGGCAUGCAAGUCGAGCGAGAACCCAACAAUGGGGGACAGCGGCGAAAGGGACAGUAAUGUGUAGAUCACCUGCCCUCAGGCCCGGGAUAGCUGCGGGAAACUGCAGGUAAUACCGGAUAAUAUCUCCGGAUCAAAGGUGUGAUUCCGCCUGGGGAUGAGUCUACAUCCUAUUAGCUAGUUGGUAGGGUAAUGGCCUACCAAGGCAUUGAUGGGUAGCGGGUGUGAGAGCACGACCCGCGUCAUUGGGACUGAGACACUGCCCAGACACCUACGGGUGGCUGCAGUCGAGAAUCUUCGGCAAUGGGCGCAAGCCUGACCGAGCGACGCCGCGUGCGGAUGAAGGCCUUCGGGUGUAAACCGCUGUCAGAGGGAUGAAAUGCAGGUGGUUCUCCCAUUUGUUUGACAUAGCCUCAGAGGAAGGACGGCUAAGUCGUGCCAGCAGCCGCGUAAU